This 254-nucleotide ribosomal RNA is filed under the name uncultured bacterium. RNAcentral describes it as "partial 16S ribosomal RNA". It matches the Rfam family "Bacterial small subunit ribosomal RNA", at positions 524 to 776 of the family's 1533-position model. The record is from RNAcentral.
UACGUAGGCAGCGAGCGUUGUUCGGAGUUACUGGGCGUAAAGGGUGUGUAGGCGGUUGUUUAAGUUUGGUGUGAAAUCUCCCGGCUCAACUGGGAGGGUGCGCCGAAUACUGAAUGACUUGGAGUGCGGGAGAGGAAAGUGGAAUUCCUGGUGUAGCGGUGAAAUGCGUAGAUAUUGGGAGGAACACCAGUGGCGAAGGCGGCUCACUGGACCGGUACUGACGCUGAUGCGCGAAAGCGUGGGGAGCAAACGGG